GGGGCUGCUAUGGUUUCGACAGAAAUGUUAGUCUUUAGAUUGCAAGUCGAAGGUACGCGUUAAGUACAAAAUAAAAUAACUGGAAACAGAAAUCAAUUAGCUUUCGCUUAAGAUAAAAUAGCAAGCUGCUUCUUUUAAAUUUUUUCUCACGAAAUUUUUAAGAGGCUCGAUUUAGUGAGAUAUAUUAUAACUUAGCUUGGAAGUUAUAAUGAAUAUUACAAGCUAGCUAAUAAUUAAUUUGUCAAUUAGUUGGUUAUUAGUUAAAUUUUAAUUGACUAAACUUGUAGUAAUUUACUGAAAGGCAUUUUUGGACAGGAGUUCAAUUCUCCUCAGCUCCACCA
This 341-nucleotide transfer-messenger RNA is filed under the name Bacilli. RNAcentral describes it as "RUG11241 sp934162285 Standard tmRNA". It matches the Rfam family "transfer-messenger RNA". From Rfam's summary of the family: Bacterial tmRNA, also known as 10Sa RNA or SsrA, is named for its dual tRNA and mRNA-like properties. Its role is to liberate the mRNA from a stalled ribosome. Lineage: Bacteria; Bacillati; Bacillota. RNAcentral also lists the same sequence under 2 other names. The record is from RNAcentral.